AAGUCGUAACAAGGUUUCCGUAGGUGAACCUGCGGAAGGAUCAUUACCAAUGGUACGAAGGGGGUCGGCUUAUUUUUUUUUUCGGGUCGAUCCCCGGACUCCCUCACCCGAUGUUAUGCGGUACUUGUUGCUUUGGCGGACCUGCCACGCUUCCGUUUAAUUUACGGGGGUAGGCUGCCGGCACUUAGUCGGCUCGUGUCCGCCAGGGGACCUACCCAAAUUCGUCUUUUUUUUUUUUGACGUGUUUACCCCUUCUGAGUUGAUGGUUUUUUCAGGUUUCGACCUAGAAAAACUGUUUUUUUCAAAAACGAAUCAAAUUAAAACUUUCAACAACGGAUCUCUCGGCUCC
Molecule: unclassified non-coding RNA, 349 nt
Filed under: fungal sp.
Lineage: Eukaryota; Fungi
Description: partial internal transcribed spacer region
Rfam family: Eukaryotic small subunit ribosomal RNA (bases 1-46)
Source: RNAcentral